This 562-nucleotide long non-coding RNA is filed under the name Gossypium barbadense (sea-island cotton). RNAcentral's name for it is "long non-coding RNA (GBAR_LNC008662)". Lineage: Eukaryota; Viridiplantae; Streptophyta; Magnoliopsida; Malvales; Malvaceae. The record is from RNAcentral.
GAGAACCUGUUUUUGCUUUAGAAAGGAGCUUUUAGGUAUAUCAUAUGUAACUCUAAUCUUUGCACACAUCUGCAAUUUUAGAUUCGAAAAGAUCAUACAAUACAAAAAAAUUAACAAACACUAAUAUAUGUUUGGUCAUCAAUCAAUCUUUUUUUUUUUAAAGAAAAAAACAUGAAUAGAAUAUAAAUAUGUGAAUACAUUAAAAUUUAUACAGUAUGAAUUAUUAAUAUAUAAACUUAUAAUUAUACGAUAUAAACAGAUGAUACAAAUAUACAGAUGUAAAGACUUACCCACACGCUUUGAGCCAUUGGUCAUCAAUCAAUCAUUAUCUUGGAAAAAGUCCACCACCACCACCACCAAAAUGGCACAAUCCAGUGCUAGCCGCCCCAAAAGUAAACGCUUCACUGGGAAUUCUUAUUUUUCAUCAUAAACAAUAAUAACACCCCAACAAAGCCCCUUUGCCUUCUUUUUGUCUUUGUUGUUUCUCUUUUUUCUUGUUAAGACUGACCAUUAUAACAAUAUAAUAUAAUUAUAAUAAACAACUAAAACGUCACUCAGGAAA